AUAUUUUACAUAUAAAAAUGUACAACUUAAAAAAUUUGUUGCUCCAACUAAAUAAUUUUUGUUUUUUAGCAUAUUCUCAACGGCAAGGAAAACCUAGCAGAUUUUUUAAGAACCCAAGGCAAUCAGACACGUGCGAAGAGGAUAUUUAAAUAAGAUUUAUUGAAAUAUUAAUUACAUGAGUAUCAAAUAGUAUAUAUAUAUUAUAUAUCAUAAUCGUAUAUCAUAUAUUUGAAUAUAGUGACCAACGUGAAUUAUUAAAACAUAUUCUAUUUUCUUAUUCCAACAAAAUAUUUAUUUGAUUUAUUUUCUUCUAUAAUUCAUCCGAUCUCCUUUCUCUGUUUUAGCAAUUACUUGUUAUUUAAGAGGAUCAACGAUGUCAAUUCAGAUGCUCACGCAGACAGGCUGUGCGAACGGUGAAAGAUCUAUCUCUUUCCGUUUCGAGUUGUCUUUAAUAGAAAAGGAAAGAGUAGAUCUCCCACUCGCUCGCGCAACUUGCUUGCGUGAGCGUCUGAACUAGCAUCGCUGCAUAGAAUUACGGUUCACUCCUUUUAAUUGAGUGAGCGAUUCACUCCAAAAAAGAAACACUUACUCCAAUCGUUUGAAAAAUUCACUCUCAUGGAGUGAAAAAUUCACUCUAAAGUUUGAGUGAAACAUUCACUCUUAUAAAAAGUGAGAUGUCACUCUAUGUUGAGUGGGAGUAUUUUCACUAUCGCUUGGAGUGAAAAUCCACUCUUUUGGAGUGACAUUUCACUCCAAGAAAUUUAGAGAAUAUAUCCGCAUUUCUAUCACUUCUUUCUGUUUGCACGCCAAAAACUGCCACGUCGCUGCCUUUAUUCACGUACUUACAAAUGUAUUUGAUUGAUUUUACUAAGUUACAGUAUUCCACGUUUAUGUGCGCUUUGUAUGUUUUUGAUAGCCAAGGCAAAUAUAAAACAACCCACCGGUUAUCUACUUUGAUUUCACCAUUUCGCAUUUGUAUGGUUGCUAAUUUUCCGCCAUCUUCUGCUGAUCUUCUUUUGUAUACUCUCUAAAGUUCUUCGAGUGAAAUAUCACUCUAAUCAAGUGAAAAUUCACUUGAACAAAGAGUGAUAGAUUGAAAAUUGAACAUAUCUUAUCGAGUGAAUAUUGACUCGACAUUUCGAGUGAUUAGAUCGCUCGUGCGUUCGAGUGAAAUGUGACUCGUGUAUUUGAGUGAAUUUGUACUCUGAUUAGAAUGACUUCUUCAGAUGUCAGCUUUUGCUGUUCGUUCGUUUUUAGAGUGAAGUUUUACUCUUGUUUGAGUGUGCAGCAUAGAGUUAUUUCUUAGGGUAUAUCUGCACAAACUUGUAUAGGCGCAUAAACACAUGCAUAAGAAAUAUGCAUCGAAUUGAUGCAUAUUUCUUAUGCACAUGCUUAUGCGCCUAUGCAAGUUUGUGUGGAUAUACCUUAAUGGUAUUGUUAUAAGUGACACACUCAUAACGAUGAAAAAGGUGUCAGUAGCACGAUAACGUAAAUCGGUCAGCUGCAGCAGUCAGCAUCGAGCGCAUUGCGCGAGGUUUCGCGCAAUCCGCUCGACAAUUAGCGCAAUGCUCCUUAGACAGCACUUGCUGUCUAAGCAAUAAUUUGGAAUACUGACCAAUUUACGCCCUCACGCAAUUCUCCCCUUCUUUCGAUCCAACUACCAAAUUAUCGGAUAUAUAAAUCCGCAAAAGAAAGUGAGGGACGGGUCAAUCCGAAGUAAACAAACCAAGAUAACACACAACACUCUGCUUUGCGGGGUCGUGUAUCGCGACAUAAACCAUUGUAACAUACACAACCACGACACUCUGCCUUGCGGGGUCGUGGACAGCAAACUCAUAGACGCGACACUCUGCCUUUUCCUCUAAGGAGAUCAGAUCUAUGUAUCAUGCAUGAACGACAGAAAUGAUUAGCAGAAGGAUUCAAGAAUCCAAACAUCUGAUGUGCAGCCAAGCCAUCAGCAACUACACAAGCUAUGAUGGCCCUCAAUACAAAUAGCUCUCCAUCAAAACUUACCAUAACUCCUUCUUCACUUUCCAACUUAUUUAAAUCAUCAAGAAAAGGACUUAAAAUUUUCUUAAAACUAUAUUUAGUAACAUCGACUGUAUAACAAAAUCCCAAAACUUGAACUCGUCCCAUAAAUGAUUGCAAAUGAGAAGGCAAAUUUUAAAUAGUAAAAUAAAAAGCUCCUAAUUUGUGAGCUGCUGUUUUACUUCCUAGAGGAUUAUUGACAAGUAUAUCAUCAUAGUAUAAUUGGAUUCUUAAUGCUGCUGGAUAUUUUCUAAAAAAAUGGAUUUUUUUUUUAAGCUCUCCCUAUCUCUAAAAUCCCCUCAUAAAUCCAUCUAAAGAAAAAAAUUCUUCUUCAAUGUAUUUUCUAACACUAGAAUGAGAAAGUAUUAAUUUAAGAGUCUUAAUUAUUGGAACAUAUUGAAAACUUUCAAUAACCAACUUUGGUUCGUAUUCACCAGAUUGUCUAUUCAGCACUGAUUCACAACGAUCUCCAAGCAGAAUCUCAACGGAGUCUACCAACCUAUAAUACAUUUUUAAAGUUUUCAGUUGCUCUUUAAUGGAUGAAAAUUUGUUAAAAGAAGCAGAAAUUUCAAACUUAGAAAGUAAAUCCUGAAUAUUAAGAUGAUCCAAUGAUAUAUCCUUACUUGAACAAUAAUUCAUAACUUCUUGCUGAAAGAAAUUUGCAAUGUUACAAACAAAAACUUCUGCUGCCAUACAAGCUUGAGUCAAACUAGCCCCUGUGAUAGAUGCAUUGGAUCUAAGAUGAGCAUUUUUGCAGCCUCUUCUGAUACACUAAACACUUUUUGAAGUCCGUUGUUUGAAGAAUUUUUAGGAUUGUUUGAAGAAUUUUUAGGAUUGUUAUCCUCAGGCACACUAUAAUUAUUUUCUUGCUCAGGGUCUUCAUUAAAAUCUACCUCCAUAUGAUUUUGAAACAAAAAUGACUCGUUAUUUUUGUUGUUUACAAUUGGGUGUUUAAUUCGAAGAUAUCUAACCAAACUAUUGAAAUUUCUAAAUACACAUUGACAAUCAUCUUGUCCACAUUGAUAUCUAAAACCAUAGGAAGCUGACAGAGACGAACUAUGUGAAUGUCUUAAAUGCGCUGCGAAAUAUUUCAAUCCAUUUGAAAUAAAUUUCUGACACAUUGAACAAGUAUAGCCUUCCAUUACUAUUUACGAAUCAACAGACAUUCAAAUAAAUUGACAAGCUAAGAUCUGAAAUAAAAUAAUAUUUUGUUCAGGAGCCUAAAAUUAAUUUACCACUAAACAUAUUUGUAUAUUAUUUUAACAAGACUAAAAAGAAAAUAACAAUAUUAUUACGCUUUACAUUACUUUUCUAUUUUACCAAAUGAUACAUACUCAAUAAAAUAUUGACUGUAUUCUCAUUUACUCCUCUUUUUUGAAGAAACAUGGCUAAAGCCUCAGGGUCCAUCAUUACACUCUGAAACAAUAAUUUCGAAUAAAUUUAUUGGAAAUUAAAAACGAACCAGACAUGGGCACUUUUAUUUGAUUAACAAAUAACAGAUAUUUGAAAAAAAA
RNAcentral lists this long non-coding RNA (3542 nucleotides) under Monomorium pharaonis (pharaoh ant). Its description in RNAcentral is "uncharacterized LOC118647804". Lineage: Eukaryota; Metazoa; Arthropoda; Insecta; Hymenoptera; Formicidae. The record is from RNAcentral.